CAAUCCAAAGGUUUUAUAGGCUUGAAAUUACUCCAAGUGAACCUUCACACGUCUAAUAACCUAUAAAUAUAUAAAAAAACAAUAAAUAAUGAAUUAUUAUAAAUUAUAAAAAACCAUCAGUCAAUAUGCUUUCAAGAUCUAGUUGGGUUAGGUGGAUCUGGCUAACCAAUAAAUCAAUUAAAUUGGGAAAAAUAGUUUUUCCACAAUUUAAAAACGGUUGGAAAUCACGAUUUGCGAUUACUAUUUGUUUUUCUUCACGAUUUCUCCGUAGUUUCUGUAACACCCUUAACCGCCUGUAGUUAAGGUGUUCGAGGGAAUUCCCCAAAGAAAACGAUGAUGAAAGAAGAGAGAAUUUUCCCCAAGCGGGGCUAGAGAUAGAGAAGACGAUCACGGAGGAUCCCGGAGGAUAAAGAAAAUUAUAAACUGAAUUGAAACUUGAUUAUUCAUUCUCCUUUACAUCAUCUCUAUUUAACUAUGAAUUUUAUAACUACUUUUUGUUAGAUCUAACAACUCUUGAAAAAUGAUUAACUAACUAUACUCGAAGUUCUUGUUUUGUGUAGACUUGCAGACUCUUGCCGGAUAAGGCGGGUCUGGUUCCCCGGAUCCUGGAACCACUUCAGUCGAAGCCUCUUUUGCUCUGUUGUCUUCUAGCUCCAGUUCGGUCGUGAGCACACGUUCUGCUUCCUCUUGUUCAAUUAGCACUGUUACAGUUUCUUCCAUCCAACCUUGCAGCACCCUCAUUCCUUUCUCCGACAAAUUUCCAAAGACAUCCAAUGACCGACAACUAUCUUCCACAGUUCUAUCUAGAUUAGCUGCUCAUUAAUUAUCAGCUAAUAUUUGGUCAAUGAAUAUGUGCUGAUGAGGAUAUCGAGUUUAGUCAGAAGGCUUCCCGUGGGAGGAGCGUCGCUCCCGGGCCCUUCGAUCGGGGGGACCGGUCCGUACAUCGGGUCACCACCUCCGCCCCCGUCUGACUCGAGGGUGUGGGGGGCCACCGUGAGUUGGUGCACCUGCUCCUGCAGCUGGCGCUGACUCUCUUGUAGAGUGGAUAUCGAGUUCACGGGUUCAGUUCGAACCUUGAAAUAGAUUCGUUUAAUUAAACGAACCGAACCCAAACCUUAGUUGAGGUUCGACGAACGGUUCGGUUCGUUUAACAUUUUUAUUAUAUUUUAUUAUUUUAUAUUUAUAUUAGAAAAUUACAUUAUAUAAUUUUUUAUUAUAAAUUUAUAUUAUAUAUUUCAUAACUUAUGUAUAUUUUUACAAUUUUUUAUUAAUAUAGUAUGUUAAUGUUGGUUUCUAAUCAACAAGAAGAAAAGAUGACUAAGAAUUGAUUUAACAAAAG
This 1339-nucleotide long non-coding RNA is filed under the name Zostera marina. RNAcentral's name for it is "long non-coding RNA (ZMAR_LNC000931)". The record is from RNAcentral. Lineage: Eukaryota; Viridiplantae; Streptophyta; Magnoliopsida; Alismatales; Zosteraceae.